Molecule: ribosomal RNA, 253 nt
Filed under: uncultured bacterium
Lineage: Bacteria
Description: partial 16S ribosomal RNA
Rfam family: Bacterial small subunit ribosomal RNA
Source: RNAcentral
UACAGAGGGGGCAAGCGUUGUUCGGAAUUACUGGGCGUAAAGGGCGCGUAGGUGGCCUUCUAAGUUGAACGUGAAAUCCCUGGGCUCAACCCAGGAACUGCGUCCAAGACUGGGAGGCUUGAAUCCGGGAGAGGGAUGCGGAAUUCCAGGUGUAGCGGUGAAAUGCGUAGAUAUCUGGAGGAACACCGGUGGCGAAGGCGGCAUCCUGGACCGGUAUUGACACUGAGGCGCGAAAGCGUGGGGAGCAAACAGG